GAGUUUGAUCGUGGCUCAGGAUGAACGCUAGCGGCGCGCCUAAUGCAUGCAAGUCGAGCGAUGAGGCACCUUUGGGUGUACAUCAGCGGCAGACGGGUGAGUAACACGUAGGUGACCUACCCCGAAGACGGGGAUAACAGGUGGAAACAUCUGCUAAUACCCGAUGGACUCUGAGCGGAAGCGAGGAGUAAAGGCUACGGUGCUUCGGGAGGGCCUGCGGCCUAUCAGCUAGUUGGUAGGGUAACGGCCUACCAAGGCGAAGACGGGUAGGGGUGUGAGAGCACGGCCCCCCACAAUGGGACUGAGACACGGCCCAUACUCCUACGGGAGGCAGCAGCAGGGAAUAUUGCGCAAUGGGCGGAAGCCUGACGCAGCGACGCCGCGUGGAUGAAGAAGGCCUCGGUUGUAAA
This 410-nucleotide ribosomal RNA is filed under the name uncultured microorganism. RNAcentral describes it as "bacterial SSU rRNA". It matches the Rfam family "Bacterial small subunit ribosomal RNA", at positions 9 to 429 of the family's 1533-position model. The record is from RNAcentral.